UAACCGUAAGUGAACCUGCGGAAGGAUCAUUAUUGAAAUAAACCUGAUGGGUUGUUGCUGGUUCUCUAGGGAGCAUGUGCACACCUUGUCAUCUUUAUAUCUCCACCUGUGCACCUUUUGUAGACCUUUCAGGUCUAUGUUGCUUCAUUUACCCCAAUGUAUGUUAAUAGAAUGUUGUGCCUAUAUAAUAUAUACAACUUUCAGCAACGGAUCUCUUGGCUCUC
This 224-nucleotide unclassified non-coding RNA is filed under the name soil metagenome. RNAcentral's name for it is "partial contains small subunit ribosomal RNA, internal transcribed spacer 1, and 5.8S ribosomal RNA". The record is from RNAcentral.